CCAAAAAUAGUAGACUGUAGACAUGUAUGAUGGGGUAUAGAGUAAAGCUUAGUCAAAUAUGAAUACAAUGUGGGACAUACAUUUCUUACCAUGUAAUUUUCAUUUUUCCCAUAUUUUUAUAGUGCAAUAAUCUAAACCAAGAUAUAUGACAUCCUACCAAAUUGUUCACAAUCGUUUUGAGUAAACAAUUUAAAUUAUAUUUAAAAACGUAACGGAAAGAUCGAAAAUCCAACUCGUUCUUUAAUUUUAUACGACUUUAUGCACUGCUAAGGUUAAUCGUGUUUAAUCAUUUUCAGUUGGAAUACUAGGGAUUGGAUUGGAUAUAUAUAUGGGAAUGUUCAUUUGAGAAGAAAAUUAAAUUGAGAAGAAAAAGAACAAAUGUUACAAUUGUAAAACAUUAAAUAGUUUUCUCUCAUCUUAUUUAUUAUUCUUUUUGACUAAUUAAUUAGUCAUAAAGAUUAUCAUCCUCCACACUAAAAUUUUUGCCUAAACACAUCAAAAUUUAUCCUACACGUGCCUACACAUAUUGAAAUUUAUCUUACACACCUCAUAAUUUAUCCUACACCUUAAAUUAAUUUUUUUCUUCUUUGAAAAGAUAUAUUUUUUUUUUGAAAAUAAGUUACAAAUUUAAUUUAGUUAGCUAUUAAAAAGGAAGACUAACAAUUAAUGAUCUAUCUAAUUUACCAAUAUACCCUUACACCCAUAUUA
RNAcentral lists this long non-coding RNA (708 nucleotides) under Helianthus annuus (common sunflower). Its description in RNAcentral is "hypothetical non coding rna". Lineage: Eukaryota; Viridiplantae; Streptophyta; Magnoliopsida; Asterales; Asteraceae. The record is from RNAcentral.